This 264-nucleotide unclassified non-coding RNA is filed under the name rhizosphere metagenome. RNAcentral describes it as "partial ribosomal RNA internal transcribed spacer region". The record is from RNAcentral.
GUAGGUGAACCUGCGGAAGGAUCAUUAGUCUAUGUGUGGCCCGUGAGGGCUUACACGUCGGGUCUCGUCUUUUUGUUGCCGAAAGGCCGCAAAUUGGUGGGGUGUCUGAAAACCCUUGAAUAUAAAACUUAGUUGCUUUGGCGGGCCGCCCUUGGGCGUCGGCCCCGGCUGACAGUGCCCGCCAGAGGCCCAAAACUCUAUUAUCUCUGACGUCUGAGUACUAUAUAAUAGUUAAAACUUUCAACAACGGAUCUCUUGGUUCUG